Molecule: ribosomal RNA, 804 nt
Filed under: uncultured bacterium
Lineage: Bacteria
Description: bacterial SSU rRNA
Rfam family: Bacterial small subunit ribosomal RNA
Source: RNAcentral
AGAGUUUGAUCCUGGCUCAGGAUGAACGCUGGCGGCGUGCCUAAUACAUGCAAGUCGAACGCUUCACUUCGGUGAAGAGUGGCGAACGGGUGAGUAAUACAUAAGUAACCUGGCAUCUACAGGGGGAUAACUGAUGGAAACGUCAGCUAAGACCGCAUAGGUGUAGAGAUCGCAUGAACUCUAUAUGAAAAGUGCUACGGGACUGGUAGAUGAUGGACUUAUGGCGCAUUAGCUUGUUGGUAGGGUAACGGCCUACCAAGGCGACGAUGCGUAGCCGACCUGAGAGGGUGACCGGCCACACUGGGACUGAGACACGGCCCAGACUCCUACGGGAGGCAGCAGUAGGGAAUUUUCGGCAAUGGGGGAAACCCUGACCGAGCAACGCCGCGUGAAGGAAGAAGUAAUUCGUUAUGUAAACUUCUGUCAUAGAGGAAGAACGGUGGAUAUAGGGAAUGAUAUCCAAGUGACGGUACUCUAUAAGAAAGCCACGGCUAACUACGUGCCAGCAGCCGCGGUAAUACGUAGGUGGCGAGCGUUAUCCGGAAUUAUUGGGCGUAAAGAGGGAGCAGGCGGCACUAAGGGUCUGUGGUGAAAGAUCGAAGCUUAACUUCGGUAAGCCAUGGAAACCGUAGAGCUAGAGUGUGUGAGAGGAUCGUGGAAUUCCAUGUGUAGCGGUGAAAUGCGUAAAUAUAUGGAGGAACACCAGUGGCGAAGGCGACGAUCUGGCGCAUAACUGACGCUCAGUCCCGAAAGCGUGGGGAGCAAAUAGGAUUAGAUACCCUAGUAGUCCACGCCGUAAACGAU